Molecule: ribosomal RNA, 135 nt
Filed under: Tylototriton verrucosus (crocodile newt)
Lineage: Eukaryota; Metazoa; Chordata; Amphibia; Caudata; Salamandridae
Description: partial 16S ribosomal RNA
Source: RNAcentral
GUCAGUUUCUAUCUAUAAAAAAUUUUUUCUAGUACGAAAGGACCGAAAAAAUAGAGCCCAUUACCAAACAAUGCUCUUACACAGUUGAAAACAAAUAAAACACGCACACACAAACACAUCCUAGAACAGGAUAAA